Molecule: ribosomal RNA, 962 nt
Filed under: uncultured marine bacterium
Lineage: Bacteria
Description: bacterial SSU rRNA
Rfam family: Bacterial small subunit ribosomal RNA
Source: RNAcentral
UCGAACGAACCUUCGGGUUAGUGGCGGACGGGUGAGUAACGCGUGGGAAUCUGCCCUCAGGAGGGGGAUAACGGCUGGAAACGGCCGCUAAUACCCCAUAUGCCGAGAGGUGAAAUGAAUUUCGCCUGAGGAUGAGCCCGCGUCUGAUUAGCUAGUUGGUGAGGUAAGAGCUCACCAAGGCAUCGAUCAGUAGCUGGUCUGAGAGGAUGAUCAGCCACACUGGGACUGAGACACGGCCCAGACUCCUACGGGAGGCAGCAGUGGGGAAUUUUCCGCAAUGGGCGAAAGCCUGACGGAGCAACGCCGCGUGAGGGAUGAAGGCCUCUGGGCUGUAAACCUCUUUUCUCAAGGAAGAAGAUCUGACGGUACUUGAGGAAUAAGCCACGGCUAAUUCCGUGCCAGCAGCCGCGGUAAUACGGGAGUGGCAAGCGUUAUCCGGAAUUAUUGGGCGUAAAGCGUCCGCAGGCGGCCCUUCAAGUCUGCUGUUAAAACGUGGAGCUUAACUCCAUCAUGGCAGUGGAAACUGUUGGGCUUGAGUGUGGUAGGGGCAGAGGGAAUUCCCGGUGUAGCGGUGAAAUGCGUAGAUAUCGGGAAGAACACCAGUGGCGAAGGCGCUCUGCUGGGCCAUAACUGACGCUCAUGGACGAAAGCCAGGGGAGCGAAAGGGAUUAGAUACCCCUGUAGUCCUGGCCGUAAACGAUGAACACUAGGUGUCGGGGGAAUCGACCCCCUCGGUGUCGUAGCCAACGCGUUAAGUGUUCCGCCUGGGGAGUACGCACGCAAGUGUGAAACUCAAAGGAAUUGACGGGGGCCCGCACAAGCGGUGGAGUAUGUGGUUUAAUUCGAUGCAACGCGAAGAACCUUACCAGGGUUUGACAUCCUGCGAACCUCUUGGAAACGAGAGGGUGCCUUCGGGAACGCAGUGACAGGUGGUGCAUGGCUGUCGUCAGCUCGUGUCGUGA